CAGCCGCCGCGGUAAAACCAGCACCUCAAGUGGUCAGGAUGAUUAUUGGGCCUAAAGCAUCCGUAGCCCGUUUUGUAAGUUUUCGGUUAAAUCCAUGCGCUUAACGUAUGGGCUGCCGGGAAUACUGCAUAACUAGGAAGUGGGAGAGGUAGACGGUACUCGGUAGGAAGGGGUAAAAUCCUUUGAUCUAUUGAUGACCACCUGUGGCGAAGGCGGUCUACCAGAACACGUUCGACGGUGAGGGAUGAAAGCUGGGGGAGCAAACCGGAUUAGAUACCCGGGUAGUCCCAGCUGUAAACUAUGCAAACUCAGUGAUGCAUUGGCUUAUGGCCAAUGCAGUGCUGCAGGGAAGCCGUUAAGUUUGCCGCCUGGGAAGUACGUACGCAAGUAUGAAACUUAAAGGAAUUGGCGAGGGGAGCACCA
This 423-nucleotide ribosomal RNA is filed under the name uncultured archaeon. RNAcentral's name for it is "bacterial SSU rRNA". It matches the Rfam family "Archaeal small subunit ribosomal RNA", at positions 459 to 881 of the family's 1478-position model. The record is from RNAcentral.